Long non-coding RNA from Nasonia vitripennis (jewel wasp), 507 nucleotides. RefSeq lists it as uncharacterized. NCBI's taxonomy places the organism in Eukaryota, Metazoa, Arthropoda, Insecta, Hymenoptera, Pteromalidae. The record is from RefSeq and is a predicted model, not a curated record. The transcript has 2 exons.
UGUGCGCGCUGUGUACAAUGGAAAGUUCAGCUUAGCCCAACGUUUGAGCGGUCAAUCGCUUUUGGAUUUGUUUUCGCUUUCUUGUUGGCUACCCUCUUCCUCUUCAUCUGAGUAAUUAGUGGGAGCUUCACCUGGCUUCAGAAGCUUACCUACGUAGUCGUACCUCUCUGAAGUCAAAGACAAAGUUGAUAUAAGUAUACCAUAGGAAAAGUACAACAUAAUCUACAAAAAAUCCAGCUUCAAACUGUCUUUCUACUGGUUUGUCAAGAAAAUGGUAUAGAGGUAUUGUUAUGUUGACCUUGAACGUUGAUCUCAUGUAAUAUGCAUUAUUUAAGAAAAUUUCAAGUCAGUAGGCUGGCUCAUUUAUCCGGGUUGAGUGAUGAUAAGAAUCGGAGUCACGAUGAUGUGAGAUUUAAGCAACAAAAUCAGUUCAAAUGUAACUGGGAUUAACCUAAAUAACUUUCCUUUGAUAUAGUUAAAUAAAAAAAUUAAUUUUAAAACUACAAA